CACGUAGGAGGCAAACGUUAUCCGGAUUUACUGGGCGUAAAGCGCGUGUAGGUGGUUCUGUAAGUAGGGCGUGAAAGCUCCCGGCUCAACUGGGAGAGGCCGUUCUAAACUGCAGAGCUAGAGGAUGGUAGAGGGAGGUGGAAUUCCAGGUGUAGCGGUGGAAUGCGCAGAUAUCUGGAGGAACGCCAGUGGCGAAGGCGGCCUCCUGGACCAUUCCUGACACUCAGACGCGAAAGCUAGGGUAGCAAACGGGAUUAGAUACCCGUGUAGUCCCU
RNAcentral lists this ribosomal RNA (275 nucleotides) under uncultured prokaryote. RNAcentral's name for it is "partial 16S ribosomal RNA". It matches the Rfam family "Bacterial small subunit ribosomal RNA", at positions 524 to 798 of the family's 1533-position model. The record is from RNAcentral.